UAAAUGGAGAGUUUGAUCCUGGCUCAGGACGAACGCUGGCGGCGUGCCUAAUACAUGCAAGUCGAGCGGACUUGAUGGAGUGCUUGCACUCCUGAUAGUUAGCGGCGGACGGGUGAGUAACACGUAGGUAACCUGCCCGUAAGACUGGGAUAACAUUCGGAAACGAAUGCUAAUACCGGAUACACAACUUGGUCGC
Molecule: non-coding RNA, 196 nt
Filed under: Paenibacillus sp. Leaf72
Lineage: Bacteria; Bacillati; Bacillota; Bacilli; Caryophanales; Paenibacillaceae
Description: Bacterial small subunit ribosomal RNA
Rfam family: Bacterial small subunit ribosomal RNA
Source: Rfam by way of RNAcentral